UACGGAAGGCAGCAGGGGGAAUAUUGCACAAUGGGCGCAAGCCUGAUGCAGCCAUGCCGCGUGUAUGAAGAAGGCCUUCGGGUUGUAAAGUACUUUCAGUCGUGAGGAAGGUGUUAAGGUUAAUAACCUUAGCAAUUGACGUUAGCGACAGAAGAAGCACCGGCUAACUCCGUGCCAGCAGCCGCGGUAAUACGGAGGGUGCGAGCGUUAAUCGGAAUUACUGGGCGUAAAGGGCACGCAGGCGGUUAAUUAAGUUGGAUGUGAAAUCCCCGGGCUUAACCUGGGAAUGGCAUUCAAGCUGGUUAGCUAGAGUCUUGUAGAGGGGGUAGAAUUCCAUGUGUAGCGGUGAAAUGCGUAGAGAUGUGGAGGAAUACCGGUGGCGAAGGCGGCCCCUGGACAAAGACUGACGCUCAUGUGCGAAAGCGUGGGGAGCAAACAGGGAUUAGAUA
Molecule: ribosomal RNA, 449 nt
Filed under: uncultured bacterium
Lineage: Bacteria
Description: bacterial SSU rRNA
Rfam family: Bacterial small subunit ribosomal RNA
Source: RNAcentral